AUAAGAGACAGGUGAAUCAUCGAAUCUUUGAACGCACAUUGCGCCCCUUGGUAUUCCAUGGGGCAUGCCUGUUCGAGCGUCAUUUGUACCCUCAAGCUCUGCUUGGUGUUGGGUGUUUGUCUCGCGGUUCUGCGCAGACUCGCCUUAAAACAAUUGGCAGCCGGCUUGUUAGCCUGGAGCGCAGCACAUAUUGCGCCUCUUGCUAGCGACUGCCCGGCACCCAUCAAGCCCAUUUAUUUGCUCUUGACCUCGGAUCAGGUAGGGAUACCCGCUGAACUUAAGCAUAUCAAUAAGCGGAGG
This 300-nucleotide unclassified non-coding RNA is filed under the name uncultured Leptosphaeriaceae. Its description in RNAcentral is "sequence contains 5.8S rRNA gene, ITS2". The stretch from base 1 to 82 matches the Rfam family "5.8S ribosomal RNA", at positions 71 to 154 of the family's 154-position model. The record is from RNAcentral. Lineage: Eukaryota; Fungi; Ascomycota; Dothideomycetes; Pleosporales; Leptosphaeriaceae.